This 256-nucleotide ribosomal RNA is filed under the name uncultured bacterium. RNAcentral describes it as "partial 16S ribosomal RNA". It matches the Rfam family "Bacterial small subunit ribosomal RNA", at positions 524 to 776 of the family's 1533-position model. The record is from RNAcentral.
UACGGAGGGUGCAAGCGUUGUCCGGAAUUAUUGGGCGUAAAGAGCUCGUAGGCGGUCUGUCGCGUCGGCUGUGAAAACCCACAGCUCAACUGUGGGCUUGCAUUCGAUACGGGCAGGCUAGAGUUCGGUAGGGGAGACUGGAAUUCCUGGUGUGAGCGGUGGAAAUGCGCAGAUAUCAGGAGGAACACCCGGUGGCGAAGGCGGGUCUCUGGGCAGUAACUGACGCUGAGGAGCGAAAGCGUGGGGAGCGAACAGG